Erpetoichthys calabaricus (reedfish) is the source of this 877-nucleotide long non-coding RNA. RefSeq lists it as uncharacterized. The record is from RefSeq and is a predicted model, not a curated record. The transcript is spliced from 2 exons. NCBI's taxonomy places the organism in Eukaryota, Metazoa, Chordata, Cladistia, Polypteriformes, Polypteridae.
CCACGUUUUGUCCUGCCAGUCAAAUGACUUGUCUCCAGCUCUGCUGCUGACUAUACACUCUAUAAGCCUUUAAAAAUGUAUGGUUGAAGAAGAAGGAGAAUCCCACAGUAGUAUUAAAGACACCGAUGCAUAGCUUAACCCAGGUGCCACUGCAACCAUUCUAAAUAAGGAACCAUAUACUGUGUUAUACCCAUAUUUUGAGCCAUGCACACUCUAGAGGUUAGGAAGUGUUUUCACAGCUUCUUUCUUCUUUUUUAAUGUGUGGUUUGGCACUUCUGCCAGUUGUUGAGGCUGCCCAAACCUCAGAGUACAGAAGAAGUUGUUUAUAAAAAGAACAGAGAUUUGAAACUCAGGCUUUAUGUGAUGUGGAUUUGCCUACCCCUGUGUUGGGACAAAGUAGUAACAGCUUUUGUGUCACCCAGCAGUACUAAUUUUUCAAGAUCCUAAUAAUAUAAACCUGGGCUACCUAUGUAUUAUUUAGGAAUAUCAGACUUUGCUGUACUUGUUUGGGGCCACAUUGCUCUAAUUUAUCUAGGUUUCCUUCACACAUGCUACUAUACAAAAGUCAUGAAAACAAUCUGACAGAAAGUGGUAUGAAAUUAAAUUUUAAGAUGAUUAAAGGACAGGAGCAUGAGUUUUAAGACAUGGUUUAGAACAAACAUAACAAAUUCUAUAUCUAUGGAGUCUGCUGUAGAUCUGUCUUGGGACCAUCAUUCUUUUUUGCUUUUUGUUUCUUUAACAAGCUAUAAUGGGUAUACUCUUCUACUCAUUGAUUAAUUUUGUAAGUGCUAAAAGAAGGAAAGAAAAUAUUUAGAAGGUGCAAAAAAUUAAAAUGUAGGAAAUGGCAAGAAUUGGAGAAAAGCUAAGCAAUGCAAUA